This 429-nucleotide ribosomal RNA is filed under the name Chloroflexota bacterium. Its description in RNAcentral is "Chloroflexi bacterium partial 16S ribosomal RNA". It matches the Rfam family "Bacterial small subunit ribosomal RNA", at positions 355 to 776 of the family's 1533-position model. Lineage: Bacteria; Bacillati; Chloroflexota. The record is from RNAcentral.
UGGGGAAUAUUGCACAAUGGGCGCAAGCCUGAUGCAACCAUGCCGCGUGUGUGAAGAAGGCCUUCGGGUUGUAAAGCACUUUCAGCGGGGAGGAAGGCGGUGAGGUUAAUAACCUCAUCGAUUGACGUUACCCGCAGAAGAAGCACCGGCUAACUCCGUGCCAGCAGCCGCGGUAAUACGGAGGGUGCAAGCGUUAAUCGGAAUUACUGGGCGUAAAGCGCACGCAGGCGGUUUGUUAAGUCAGAUGUGAAAUCCCCGGGCUCAACCUGGGAACUGCAUCUGAUACUGGCAAGCUUGAGUCUCGUAGAGGGGGGUAGAAUUCCAGGUGUAGCGGUGAAAUGCGUAGAGAUGUGGAGGAAUACCGGUGGCGAAGGCGGCCCCCUGGACAAAGACUGACGCUCAGGUGCGAAAGCGUGGGGAGCAAACAGG